CAGUUCUUUUACAAAUUCAACACAGACCCACCAAAAAUAAAGAGAAAACCAGUUGGGGAAAUGCAAAAAGAACCCAGCAAAGAGGGGGAGGAGGAUGAAAUGAAUUACGUGUGGGUUAGGGAGAUAGAAAUUGAGAAGUUUUGGCUGCCGAUAGAGACCGUGGUUAGGCCAUUGAUUCUUUCUACUGUUACAAAGAAUUCAGGUACUGUAUGGCAGUGAAUGUGAUAGCCUUUGUAUAUUCUGGCUUUCGGGGUUACGAUCUAAUCUAUCAAUUGACCUCCGGAGAACGCAAAGUGAGGCAACCCCUCUGCCACUACUUGGAUUUUUAUUUAGAUCAGGUUUGCCAACGGAGGAAUGAUAUCUUACUGCAAGCUGCUAUUAUGGUGCUGAUGAUCUCAGUUAAGUGUAGUUGAAUUCUUCCUUUGAUGAGCAUGGAGGUGAGAUGCAAGUUGCACAAGAUGCUCCUUUAAAGCCAUCUAUGGAUAUCUUUGCUGUAGGGUAUGCCAACGGAGGAAUGAUAUCCUACUGCAAGCUGCUAUUAUGGUGCUGAUGAUCUCAGUUAAGGUACGUUUAAGCGCUGCAAUUCACAGUUUAAGACGGAGACACAAUUGAGUUACAUCAAAGAUGCCAUGUCGUGCAAUAUUUAAAUCUUCACUGGACUUAAUGUUGGCUGUCUUUUAGCAGGUUUUACAUAAAAAGAAUGUUUUGGAUUACAGUGAUGGAUUAUUCUUCUGGCUAUGUAUAAUAUAUAUUGAAAGUGUAGUUGAAUUCUUCCUUGAUUUUUCAGAGAUUUUUUUAGCAUGGAGGUGAGAUGCAAAUGGGAUACUAAAAUGAUUUUGUAUUUGCUAUUUUCCUUAAUCUGAGCAUGAUUUUCAUUACCUAAAACAGGAUACUAAAUUGAUGAAUUUCCUGGAUUUUGUGAUUGUUGAUUUAUUAUUUAUGCCAAGAGUGGAUUGUGACUUGAUUUCUGGAUUAUGCAACUCACGUUCUCUGUCAAAAAUAGCAAAUGAAGCUGACUUAGUGGAGCAGUGGAAUGACUCAAGUGAUGCUACACCAGCAGCAAGAACAUGAUUGGAGAGAUUGAGAACCACUCAAGCUAACUUUUAGCUGUAAGUGUAACAGUAUCUUAUCGUUUCAUUGAGUUUUUCUCUUUUGUUUUGCAAAUAUGAUUACCUUCUUUGACAUUAUGCACAUUGAUACACAAAUAAAAUAUGAGGUCAAAAAACAAAAGGAGUUCAUACAUUUCUUGGUCAAAGAGGUGGAAUCAGCAAGCUUUUCAGAGAUAUCAGAUGUGGAGACAUUUGUUAAAUGGCUAGAUGGGGAACUAUCGUCCUUGGUUGAUGAAAGGGCGGUGUUGAAGCACUUCCCACAAAUAGCCAGAACGAAAAGCAGAUGCUUUAAGAGAAGCUGCUUUCAAUUACAGAGACUCGAAGAACCUUGAAACUGAGGUUUCAUCGUUUGAGGACUCUUUGGCUCGGGCAACAAGAAGGAUGCAAGCAUUGCAAGACAGUUGAGCAUGUUGGAGCAAAGUGUUAACAACACAGAAAGAAUGAGAGAAAGCAGCAGUAGAAGAUGCAGGGAUUUUCAGAUCCCAUGGGAAUGGAUGUUUGAUACAGGACUCAUUGGCCAGUCCUAAAACACUUGUAAACAUGAAUGGACAAGGAAUUGCAAGUCCUAAAACAGUUGCUAAUUCAGUUGAAUUGAAGAAUUUCACUCUAAGUCCUAAAACACUUGGAUUGUGGAAUGUAGAAAGCAAUGGAGGAUAUUCAGCCCAAACAAGUUCUAAAGAGGGAGAGAGUCCAAACAUUUCGGCCCAAGCCACUCCAAGUCCAAGCUCAACAAGGGAAGCUCAAGCUCACCAAGAAAGAAGUCCAAGUGUUGAAAAUGUUCAAUCUGGCCCAAGUCUCAUUUCAAAGAGAAUACAUGAAAAGAAUAAGCAAGGAGUUGAAUUCCAUUAACGAAUGUUUGCAAGAACAGAGUCCGAUGCUCCAAGGAGUUCGAUUUGCCUAUAAAAUCCACCAGUUUGCAGGUGGGCUUGACAUAGAGAACAUAAAAUGCAUUUGAAGAGCUAAAAAAAGUUGGUAUCGUAGUCAUCAUAAUAUGUAUUGUCGUUGUUCAUCAAGUGUUUGAACUUUCUAAUGCUCCUUUCAUUUAGUUUUUGGGGAUUUCGAAUGUUGAAUUAGUAGGUCGAAAGCAACAUCAAGCUAGAUGAUUUGUAUAGACAUCCACUACCAUUGUACCAAACAUUAUAUACCGAGUUACGGCAAU
Molecule: long non-coding RNA, 2268 nt
Organism: Pistacia vera
Lineage: Eukaryota; Viridiplantae; Streptophyta; Magnoliopsida; Sapindales; Anacardiaceae
Exons: 9
Source: RefSeq, a predicted model, not a curated record